AGACCCGAAACCCGGUGAUCUAGCCAUGGGCAGGUUGAAGGUUGGGUAACACUAACUGGAGGACCGAACCGACUAAUGUUGAAAAAUUAGCGGAUGACCUGUGGCUGGGGGUGAAAGGCCAAUCAAACCGGGAGAUAGCUGGUUCUCCCCGAAAGCUAUUUAGGUAGCGCCUCGUGAAUUCAUCUCCGGGGGUAGAGCACUGUUUCGGCUAGGGGGCCAUCCCGGCUUACCAACCCGAUGCAAACUGCGAAUACCGGAGAAUGUUAUCACGGGAGACACACGGCGGGUGCUAACGUCCGUCGUGAAGAGGGAAACAACCCAGACCGCCAGCUAAGGUCCCAAAGUCAUGGUUAAGUGGGAAACGAUGUGGGAAGGCCCAGACAGCCAGGAUGUUGGCUUAGAAGCAGCCAUCAUUUAAAGAAAGCGUAAUAGCUCACUGGUCGAGUCGGCCUGCGCGGAAGAUGUAACGGGGCUAAACCAUGCACCGAAGCUGCGGCAGCGACACUGUGUGUU
This 513-nucleotide ribosomal RNA is filed under the name Salmonella enterica. RNAcentral's name for it is "partial 23S ribosomal RNA". It matches the Rfam family "Bacterial large subunit ribosomal RNA", at positions 711 to 1222 of the family's 2925-position model. RNAcentral also lists the same sequence under 3 other names. The record is from RNAcentral. Lineage: Bacteria; Pseudomonadati; Pseudomonadota; Gammaproteobacteria; Enterobacterales; Enterobacteriaceae.